AAGGCAGACUGGGCAAUCGCGGUAUUUCGGUAUCGAGGAAGGUCCGGACUCCACAGGGCGGGAUAGCGGCUAACGGCCGCCCGUUCGGGCUCGCGGCUUCGGCCGCGUGCCCGGGCGAGGAACAGGGCCACAGAGACGAGUCUGCCGCGAGGGCGCGUGCGCACCCGUACGGCCAUCUCCGUACGGCGCGUCUUGGCAACAAGGCGCGGCGCGGCAGGGUGAAACGCGGCAACCUCUAUCCGGAGCAACAUCAAAUAGGCAUGCGCCGGCCCCUCGGGGCUGAAAGGGCGGCUCGUCCGAGCAUGCGGGUAGAUGGCUAGAGUGCGCCAGCAAUGUCGCACCCAGAGGAAUGAUUGCCCGCCGAACCUCGCGUGCGGCGUACAGAAUCCGGCCUAUAGGUCUGUCUUGCCU
Molecule: RNase P RNA, 411 nt
Filed under: Pusillimonas noertemannii
Lineage: Bacteria; Pseudomonadati; Pseudomonadota; Betaproteobacteria; Burkholderiales; Alcaligenaceae
Description: Bacterial RNase P class A
Rfam family: Bacterial RNase P class A
About the family: Ribonuclease P (RNase P) is a ubiquitous endoribonuclease, found in archaea, bacteria and eukarya as well as chloroplasts and mitochondria. Its best characterised activity is the generation of mature 5'-ends of tRNAs by cleaving the 5'-leader elements of precursor-tRNAs.
Source: Rfam by way of RNAcentral